This 253-nucleotide ribosomal RNA is filed under the name uncultured bacterium. Its description in RNAcentral is "partial 16S ribosomal RNA". It matches the Rfam family "Bacterial small subunit ribosomal RNA", at positions 524 to 776 of the family's 1533-position model. The record is from RNAcentral.
GACAGAGGGGGCAAGCGUUGCUCGGAAUUACUGGGCGUAAAGGGCGCGUAGGCGGGAUGGCAAGUCGGUCGUGAAAUCCUUCGGCUCAACCGAAGAACGUCGAUCGAUACUGCUGUUCUUGAGGGUUGCAGAGGAGACUGGAAUUCCCGGUGUAGCGGUGAAAUGUGUAGAGAUCGGGAGGAACACCGGUGGCGAAGGCGGGUCUCUGGGCAGUAACUGACGCUGAGGAGCGAAAGCGUGGGGAGCGAACAGG